RNAcentral lists this non-coding RNA (28 nucleotides) under Bombyx mori (domestic silkworm). The record is from RNAcentral. Lineage: Eukaryota; Metazoa; Arthropoda; Insecta; Lepidoptera; Bombycidae.
UUGCUUAUGUUGGUGUUGCGCACGCGUC